CCUACGGGACGCAGCAGGGGGGAAUAUUGCACAAUGGGCGCAAGCCUGAUGCAGCCAUGCCGCGUGUGUGAAGAAGGCCUUCGGGUUGUAAAGCACUUUCAGCGGGGAGGAAGGCGUUAAGGUUAAUAACCUUGGCGAUUGACGUUACCCGCAGAAGAAGCACCGGCUAACUCCGUGCCAGCAGCCGCGGUAAUACGGAGGGUGCAAGCGUUAAUCGGAAUUACUGGGCGUAAAGCGCUCGCAGGCGGUCUGUCAAGUCGGAUGUGAAAUCCCCGGGCUCAACCUGGGAACUGCAUUCGAAACUGGCAGGCUAGAGUCUUGUAGAGGGGGGUAGAAUUCCGGGUGUAGCGGUGAAAUGCGUAGAGAUCUGGAGGAAUACCGGUGGCGAAGGCGGCCCCCUGGACAAAGACUGAUGCUCAGGUGCGUAAGCGUGGGGAGCAAGCAGGAUUAGAUACCCUGGUAGUC
Molecule: ribosomal RNA, 465 nt
Filed under: uncultured bacterium
Lineage: Bacteria
Description: bacterial SSU rRNA
Rfam family: Bacterial small subunit ribosomal RNA
Source: RNAcentral